This is a non-coding RNA of Mustela putorius furo (domestic ferret), 164 nucleotides long. The record is from Rfam. NCBI's taxonomy places the organism in Eukaryota, Metazoa, Chordata, Mammalia, Carnivora, Mustelidae.
CCCUGGGCUCGCGGAGCUUCCAUUGCGGCUGCGCGGCUGGCUAAGAGGGGGCGGUGCAGCUUUUACUACCGCUGCGCACUUGACGCGCGCGCUCUAGUCCUCCUUUUGCGGCUCUUCUUUUCGGUCGAGUUUUGCGGGGGCGUGUGGGGAACCUACGCUCUUUG